AUUGAACGCUGGCGGCAGGCCUAACACAUGCAAGUCGAGCGGAGGAAGGGCGCUUGCUCCUGGAUUCAGCAGCGGACGGGUGAGUAAGGCCUAGGCAUCUGACUGGUAGUGGGGGAUAACGUCCGGAAACGGGCGCUAAUACCGCAUACGUGCUGAGGGAACAAGUGAAGGAUAUUAUGACGUCAGGCAAUCAGAUAAGCAUAGGUCGGAUUAGCUAGUUGGUGGCGUAAAGGCCUAACAAGGCGACGAUACGUAACUGGUCUGAGAGGAUGAACAGUCACACUGGAACUGAGACACGGCCCAGACUCCGACGGGAGGCAGCAGUGGGGAAUAUUGGACGAUGGGGGAAAGCCUAAUAUAGCCAUGUCGCGUGUGUGAAGAAGGUCUUCGGAUUGUAGAGCACAUUAAGUUUGGAGUAAGUGCAGUAAGUUAAUAACGUGCUGUAUUGACGUUACCAACAGAAUAAGCACCGGCUAAAUACGUG
This 484-nucleotide ribosomal RNA is filed under the name uncultured bacterium. Its description in RNAcentral is "partial 16S ribosomal RNA". It matches the Rfam family "Bacterial small subunit ribosomal RNA", at positions 30 to 507 of the family's 1533-position model. The record is from RNAcentral.